Molecule: RNase P RNA, 335 nt
Filed under: bovine gut metagenome
Description: Bacterial RNase P class A
Rfam family: Bacterial RNase P class A
About the family: Ribonuclease P (RNase P) is a ubiquitous endoribonuclease, found in archaea, bacteria and eukarya as well as chloroplasts and mitochondria. Its best characterised activity is the generation of mature 5'-ends of tRNAs by cleaving the 5'-leader elements of precursor-tRNAs. Cellular RNase Ps are ribonucleoproteins.
Source: RNAcentral
UCGCGUCCGAAAGGAUGAGGAAAGUCCGGACUCCGCAGGGCAGAGGAUCCGUCCGUCAAGGACGGAAGGCACGGGGCAAUCCCGUGCGAUGGAAAGUGCCACAGAGAACAGACCGCCCACAAGGGCAAGGGUGAAAGGGUGGAGCAAGAGACCACCGGUGCGUCUGAAACGCCGCACGCAGGGCAAACCCUCCUCGGAGCAAGAUCAAAUAGGGGAUUGAACGGGCGGCCCGCCCGGUUUGGCUGCCUUCGGGUGGCCGGUGAAAUCCCGGGUUGAUCGCUGAGAUGAAUGAUCGGAGCGCCGCAAGGCGUGAACAGAAUCUGGCUUAUUCGCCG